Long non-coding RNA from Thamnophis elegans (Western terrestrial garter snake), 327 nucleotides. RefSeq lists it as uncharacterized. The record is from RefSeq and is a predicted model, not a curated record. The transcript is spliced from 3 exons. Lineage: Eukaryota; Metazoa; Chordata; Lepidosauria; Squamata; Natricidae.
CCGACUAGCCGGACUCCAGAAGCGCCGAGAGAAGGGAGGGAAGGUCGCAUGAUCCUGUAGGAUUUGCCCCGAUCUCGGCUGGAGGGCAGCCCCCUUGGUCUCCCAGCGUCCGGAUGUGAUUCUUGGGGACUCCGGAGGACUUUCAGAAAGUGGCCAGUUAUUUUCCUCAGGAUUUUUCUAUAAUUCCUCCCCCCAUUUCAAGAAAUUGGAAACCAACCCUUGGUUCUCGGACACCUCAUUUUCAGAGUCAAGAAUUAUGCGAGACAAUUUUAAGGGGUCUUUGAGGAUUCUGAGUUCCCUAAUUGUGCUUGGAUUUCAGCUGGUCAU